CCACAGGGAAAGUCUGAGGGUGGAAGUCUGGAUGGCAUCCGAUUCAAAUUUCUCCAUGAAAACAUGGGAAAACAAACCCAGUGCGCCUCAUUUCACCUGCGAGCAAAGCAAAAAAACUCUGGAAGACAUCUUUGAAGUGCAGGAGCGGGCGACCAGUGACCCGUGUGCCUGAUGCCAGCUCGCCGUACAAGACAUCCUUGGGUAAUCUACCAUCCUGCAUGCGGCGCACUUGUCCAAGCCAUCUAAGGCGCCUAUGACUGAGUAGAGAGUACAUGCUGGGAAUGUUGGCCAAGUUGAGGACUGAGGUGUUGGGAAUGCGAUCUUGCCAUCUGAUACCGAGGAUGAGCCUGAGACAUCGGAGGUGGAAUGUAUUUAGUCGAUGUUCUUGAUUGGCGUAUGUUGUCCAGGACUCAAAGAGGAGGGUGCUAAGGACACAGGCCCGAUACACCUGUACUUUGGUGUUGAGCAUUAGAGAAUUGUUGUCCCACACUCUUUUGGUCAACCUGAACAUAGCUGCAGACGCCUUCCCAAUGCGCUUGUCAAUCUCUGUGACAAGGACAAAUUGCAGGUGAUGGUGGAACCCAAGUAGGUGAAGUCCUGAACGACUUCCAGGGUGUAGCUGCCAAUGUUUAUGGAAGGAGUGUCUCUGAUAUCCUGGCCUAUGACAUUGGUCUUUUUCAGACUGAUUGUCAGGCCAAAGUUGUUGCAGGCAUUGGCAAGGUGGUCGAUGAGUUUCUGCAAACCUUGUUCUGUGUGAGCUGUCAGUGCGGCAUCAUCAGCAAAUAGGAGUUCUCUGAUGACGACUCUGCGGACUUUGGUUUUGGAUCUGAGGCGGCCAAGAUUGAACAGUUUGCCAUCAGAUCUUGUAUGGAGAAAGUCUCCCUCUUCUGCUGUCCCAAAGGCAUGUGUGAGCAGAAGUGAGAAAAUAUGUCAAACAGUGUUGGGGCAAGCACACACCCCUGCUUUACACCGCUGAGUAUGGGAAAUUCUUCUCAGGUGGUGCCGCUGUGCUGUAUUGUUCCUUUCAUGUUAUGGAAAGAGGAGAUGAUUGCCAGCAGCUUCGGUGGGCAGCCGAUCACUUUGAGGAGUUUGAAGAGGCCUCCCCUACUGAUGAGGUCAAAGGCUUUUGUAAGAUCAAUGAAUGCCAAGUACAGGGGCAUUCUCUGUUCUCGACAUUUCUCCUGUAGGUGACGCAAGGAAAAGAGCAUGUCAAUUGUGGACCUUCCUGCUCUGAAGCCACACUGAGCCUCAGGAUACGUCCUCUCAGCGAGUAUCUGUAACCUGCUGAGGACCACACGGGCAAAGGUUUUCCCUACGAUGCUCAGCAGGGAGAUGCCACGGUAGUUAUUGCAGUCCCCACAGUACCCUUGUUUUCAUAUAGGGUGAUGAUGUUGGAGUCUUUCAUGUCUUGAGGCAUUGCUUCUUCUUCCCAGCACUGGCAGAUAAGUUCAUGAAGUUUUGUGAGAAUGGCAGGUUUCGCACAUUUCAGUACCUCGGGUGUGAUGCCGUCCUGUCCCGGGGACUUGCCAUUGGCUUGUGAGUUGAUGGCAUUGUCAAGUUCCUUCAAGGUUGGUAGGGGCUUUACAGCAGCAAGGGCAGCUUCUGACACACCGUUGUCUCGUGAGUUGAGCUCUGAGUAGUGUUCUACCCACUUGGCCAUUUGCUCUUGUUUAUCAGUGAUGAUGGCCCCUGUGCUGGAUUUAAGGGGGGCAGUCCUCCUGAUGUUUGGACCAAAGGCUGUCUUGAUGCCUUCAUACAUGGCACGGAUAUUGCCAGUGUCAGAGGCAAGUUGGAUCCUACUGCUGAGGUUCACCGAGUAGUUGUUGGCGCAGCGUCUGGCGGUCGUUUGAGCUGCACUGUGGGCAGCUUGGAGGAUGGGUUCCAAUAUAGCCAGGUGUUCCUCUUGGUAGAGUUGAUGCGUAGGUAGUGCUUUUGUUUGAGGUGGUGUAUCUUUUUUGGGCGUAGUCUGACCUUGCUGGAUACCAGCAAGUGAUGGGUGUCACAGACUGCACUGUGGUAGCUGCGUGUGAGUACUGAGUUGAGGAGAGCUCGUCGGAUGAUGACGAGGUCCAGUUGGUGCCAAUUAAGAGACCUUGGAUAUCUCCAUGAUACUUUAUGGCAUGGUUUUGUGAGAAAGAAUGAGUUUGUGAUACAGAGAUUAUGGUAUGAACAAAGCUCCAGUAGUCUUUAGCCAAUGGCAUUCAUCUUUCCAAUGCCGUGAUAGCCAAGGCAUGCGGGCCACGCGUCAUGGUCAGCCCCAACCCUUGCAUUGAAGUCUCCCAACAGAAACAUGUGCUCAUAGCUGGGGAUUUUGCGAAUAAUAUUGUGAAGCUCUUCAUAGAACUGAUCAUGAAUCUCCGUAGAUGAGUAGAGUGUAGGGGCGUAGGUUUACAUGGCCAGAAGCAGUGAGCAGUCUCAUGAGCAGAAUCCGCUCGGAGCCUGCAGUCGGUGGUUCUAUCAUGCCAAGGAGUGUGUUUUUGAUGGCGAACCCAACACAGUGUUGCCUUGGUUCAUUCUGCUGUUUUCCUUGCCAGUAGAAAGUGUAGUCACUCUCUUGUAGUGAGCCACUGCCAGCAAGUCGGGUCUCCUGCAGUGCUGCAAUAUCCACAUGGAGUCUCGCCAGCUCCUUGUCGAUAACUGCAGUCUUGCGGAUGUCUCCAAUCUGCAAUAGAUCUUCAGAGAGUCCAGAACACAUUGCACGUACAUUCCAGCUUGCAAAAUGAAGGGCUGGAACCUUAUUUCGUUUUGUUUUGCUUUUGUCUGGUGCAGGUGUUGCAGCCCACUUGUCUGGUGAUGAACCAUAAGCUCAAAGCACCCAUUGGAGCAGGUGAGCUGUGGCGGGAAAGCACCUUAUUGGCAGGGGGCUGCCCAGCUUGAGGCGGGCGGUAGCUAUCCAUUGGGGUGCAAUGACCCCUCCCACCGACGAUGGCAACCCGUGGCACCCAUUUUUUACGCCAAUCUAAAAUGAGCUUAUAACCCGUGACUGCUGCCAUCCGUGUUUCUUGGCCACGAUUAGGUGGCCGAGGAGUGUCCUCUCCCUAUUUUUGCACCUCUUGUUGGCGCAAAGCCUGGGCAGGUUAUUUUGGAAAUCCUGGGUUGCCCAUGCGUCAGGAUCCCCCCUUCGGCCUUGCUGGUGAUGUCCAAAAGAGUGCGUAGCACGACGUUUGGUACCAGUUUGGCUGCAGGGGCUGCCGGGAAUGUGCCGCAGUGCAUUACAAAACCGCCUGAGGGGCCCUACUCCUGAUUUUCUGUAGGAGUUUACUCCCUUAGCCAUUGACUCUCCCGAGACACAAACAAGGCAGUGAGAAAACCACGUAACCCUGGGAUGGGCCCUUACCAGGUACUGACAGCCGGGCCAGCUGUGCCUGGGAAUCGUGUAAGGCAGGGUUGUCACGCCCUGAGGUAGUUUAUCACAAACUACAUUGGACGGAAGAUGAGGCACUAAUUGCUCUGCCGACUGUUUUGGACGACAACGCUCUUGCUGUCUUCAGGGCUAUUCCCGCAGCUAAGAAGGCUACAGUUAAAAGUGCUUGUGCUGAGAUAGCGGACGUGUAUGAGCCGCCUUCCUACACACGCAGGAAGUUUCUUCAGAGGAGGCAAGGGGAGGCCGAGACGCCUACUGCAGCGUGCUGUUUGGCGCUGGCGGGAGCAGCUUACCGCAUAGUGGAUACUGAAGCCCUCGACUCGCUCGUCAUGGAAAGGAUGUUGGGACUGGCAUGAGAAAUUGGUGUGUUUUUACCUGUGUGUGACAAAGACGUACAGACGUCCCUGUGGGCCACCAGGUGUCUUCAGGCCCACGAGAAUCUGCAGCGAUGGGCUCAAAUAGCGGUGUGGACAGGGGAUCACAGCCAAGAUGGGGAACCGAAGGGGUGGUUGCCAUGGAAAGUCGUGGUGCCUCCGCCUGAUGAUGCGACUUCGGAGGUGGAUGUCGCUGCUGCGUUCCUGGUGUGGAAUCGGAGUAGAGGGGAUGCUGCACGGCGUAAGUGGAGCUGGAGACCGCGUUAGCAAGAAUAUUGGAUGGCGCGGAGGCCCUCACUUACCGGCUUUCGCUCCGGCCAGCCGGGGCACUUCGCACGAGGAUGUCAGAACCGUCCUUGGGCAGCGACCACAACUUCAGCACCCACUGCUCCACAGACGGCUACAUCUCAACCCCAACAGGCGAAUCGAGACACAUCAGACACCCGGCCCAUUUUUCAAUCUCAGACAUCUAAGGAUUCAGGGGUCAUUUCCACUCAGCAUGACGCACACAUUGACACCGGACAGUGAAAUCCUGUUGCGCAUGGGCGGCCUAGCUAGGGGAUGGAGUGGAGGAAAUUGGCGCGUUGGGUGGUCGCGGCAGCUGCAGGUUCCUCGGCGGUAUCUGGUUCUAUUCAGGGUGCUAAGGUUCAUGUCUUGGUGGACACCGGAGCCUCAGCCACCAUUAUUUCCGAUGUCGUAAAUGCUUGUGUCGCGGUGAACGGUGGGAGCAUGGGCAUCGUUGGACAAGUGGAGGCCCGUACCAAAUUGGCGAGGUCGCUUUGGUCAAGCCCAUACGAAUCUCAAGAACGCUGGCAGUGCCCUGCCUUUUGGGUACCGAUAAAAAAAAAUGCCUGUUAAGAUCCUGGUCGAUCAGGGUUGUGUGGAAAUGCUAUUGGGUCGCAAGUUGUUUUUUUUGGCGUCUUCCCAUGUGAAUACGGCUACGUGUGUCAAGGUCCAAGCCCUUGUUACGGACUCGGUGGAGAUCCCGCCAGGCUCACAGAUGCUUGUACCGUUAUGCUAUCGCAAACAGUUGGGAAAGGUUGAUCCGAAGGUGGGUGUCCUGACUCCGUCGAAUACGGCGACCCAUGGAUUGCCGCUAGUAGACGCCUAGACGGUCCUUUGCCCCAACCAAGCGCCAUUCUUACAAGUGCUUAAUGUGUGUCCGGGUAUGGUUGUGGUCCAGGCAGGUACAGUAUUGGCUCACACUACUACCACAUUUUGUGAGAAUAAUGCCAAUUCCGAAGCUGGCGUUACCUUGGUUUAGUAAGUUGCUAGGCUUUGAGAUAUCUACAAAUUCGAAUGUUCACAAACGUAUACAAAAAGCUAUGGUAAUAUCAUUAAAAGCUCAUUUCAACCCUUGGCAUGUCCAUCAAGACACAUGAUACUGUAAAUAGAACAUAUCCAGAGCAAUAUAAAUAUAAAAAAACUAUAGUAUCUAAUGAAGCAGCCAAAAUCAUACCAGAGCAUUGUUUGUCUUGAGAGACUAUAUUUCUCAGUGAGUAAAAAUAUAAUAACCUAUUCACUAGGGAAAGAGCUGUUGUUAUUGCUCGUGGACAUCCAGUGCAUAAGAGAACAUAGUGUGUAAUUACUGCCAUUUUAAGUGCUAUGUUUGAGAAGGACUUGGGGGGUUUGAUUGACGACCAUGCAAACGAGGGUUGAUUGCCUUCUUGAAGAUGGAAAAUUAUGAAAACAUGGAUAAUUUGCAGAGUUUAUCCCGCUGGAAGAGAAUAAACGAGAUUUCAGCAGGAAUAUGUAAAGAUAUUGUCACAUCAUUGAGACAGCGAUGGAAGUGACAAGCAAGAAAUGCUAACUACCUCAUAGGAUGUCGUGGGUUCGAAUCUGACCCUGACGGCAGUAUAUUUGUAGUUUACAAUUUCUCCUCGUGGGUGCGUAGAUAUUUAUCCGGGUCCCCUGAUUUUUCCCUCCACAUUUAGAUGCAUGUGUUAAGAGUAUUUGGCUGCUAUAAACUUCCACAUUGUAAGCCACUUUGGUGAGCCAUAUUUUGUAGCCAGGUUGCUUCUGAAAAAGAUAUAUAUUGCUCAAUGGGCCUUACCUGGUAAAAUAAAUAAAAAAAUAGUUAAUUUUAAUAGUUUAAAAUAGAAAUGCAUCCGUGUGCACGUCCAUCUAACAAAUGAAGCAAUCGAAUCAGCAUGUAUGUAGGUGCUAAGGCUAAAGCAGAUUGUUAAAUCGCAGGAUCGUUAGACAUGGUGACAGCUUGGGAAGGUUAUCAUUGAGCAGUGGAUUUAUCAUGGCUGAUGAUGCAUUUGAAAAGGAUUAAGGUUGAGAAGCAGAGCCGAGUGACAGAACACAACAUAAAAAUAAAGACUGUGUACCAUCUACCCAAUGCAUUUUACCUAUGCCACUUCUUUGUUGACAUUCAUCACGAUAAACUAUGUCAAAGUAUAUGUUUUUUACGUUUAAGUUGUAUAACUUAACAGUUGGAUCAAUAUCAUGCAUUCAUGGUGCUCAUUUUGCAUUCCUGCUAUAUUCCAGUGUAUUACAUAUCCGAUAACAUUAUGACAUAGGUAUAUUUAAUAUAAGAAAGUGAAUUACAAGUGAAAUACUUUUAAACAAAUCAGGAUAAGAAACGGAGUUAUUGGUUGAAAAUGUGGCAUGGUGACAACAUAAAGGAAUACAAUCUUGCAAAACAAAUGCAUGCAAAAGUAUUUUUGAAAACAAAUAUAGAGUUUACUCUUGAUUUGAAGCUUUCGUGACUGCUGUGGUUGUCCCACCUGAUGAAGAUUGCUUAUGUUGCGAUCGAAACGUCGUGAUUUGUUUUAUUUUAUUUUAUUUAUAUCUACGUGACUUUACCGAAAGAACCAAAGAGUAAUAUAGAGUUUAUUAUGCAAUUACAAAGUGUGAGAAAUACCACAAUUAUGCUCAGGGAUCUUCACUUCAAAUAUGUAAUGGAAUAAACCUCGGCAAAAUGGUAAAUUAACCCUCAACAGUGUGAUAAUAUGCCACCAUUCCACAUUCUUCAGUUUAUGAAUGUUUUGCAGCAAUGCCAUUUGAGCACAUAAUUAUUUCAGUACCAUAUUUUUAGGUUGAUCACAUAUCGUAUUGUUCUGUACUUUUAAGCUCUUGAACAUCCCAUAUUACUCAUUUUAAAGUUUCAUCACCAGCUGUUUGUAUUGUAUCGACCCUAAAAAUAAUUACUUUUCUUUUAAUGAGGAAUCCAUUUAAUUGCCAUCUUGCAUAUGCAGACUCAGGGAAUACAGAUAGAUGUUGUCACCACCAAAGAGUACAUGUAUCUACCAAAUAAAAACGGGUAAAAGUGAAACUUUGAAAAUAAUUAAAGUAGUUUGUCAUUGUUGAACAGGUAUUCUUGCAAAAUUGAUUUUUAUUAAGAUACUGUUACAUACAAAGGAGGACAUUAAAUCAUACAGCAUUGCACAUAAUCUGUAUGCAAGUAAUGUUUGUUUUUUGCUAUUGGUCAAAGCUGCCCCUGGUGCAUUUCCCAACGCCUAGC
Petromyzon marinus (sea lamprey) is the source of this 7207-nucleotide non-coding RNA. NCBI's taxonomy places the organism in Eukaryota, Metazoa, Chordata, Hyperoartia, Petromyzontiformes, Petromyzontidae. The record is from RefSeq and is a predicted model, not a curated record.